RNAcentral lists this ribosomal RNA (849 nucleotides) under Alternaria alternata. Its description in RNAcentral is "eukaryotic LSU rRNA". It matches the Rfam family "Eukaryotic large subunit ribosomal RNA", at positions 68 to 935 of the family's 3401-position model. The record is from RNAcentral. Lineage: Eukaryota; Fungi; Ascomycota; Dothideomycetes; Pleosporales; Pleosporaceae.
ACAGGGAUUGCCCUAGUAACGGCGAGUGAAGCGGCAACAGCUCAAAUUUGAAAUCUGGCUCUUUUAGAGUCCGAGUUGUAAUUUGCAGAGGGCGCUUUGGCUUUGGCAGCGGUCCAAGUUCCUUGGAACAGGACGUCACAGAGGGUGAGAAUCCCGUACGUGGUCGCUGGCUAUUGCCGUGUAAAGCCCCUUCGACGAGUCGAGUUGUUUGGGAAUGCAGCUCUAAAUGGGAGGUACAUUUCUUCUAAAGCUAAAUAUUGGCCAGAGACCGAUAGCGCACAAGUAGAGUGAUCGAAAGAUGAAAAGCACUUUGGAAAGAGAGUCAAACAGCACGUGAAAUUGUUGAAAGGGAAGCGCUUGCAGCCAGACUUGCUUACAGUUGCUCAUCCGGGUUUCUACCCGGUGCACUCUUCUGUAGGCAGGCCAGCAUCAGUUUGGGCGGUAGGAUAAAGGUCUCUGUCACGUACCUCCUUUCGGGGAGGCCUUAUAGGGGAGACGACAUACUACCAGCCUGGACUGAGGUCCGCGCAUCUGCUAGGAUGCUGGCGUAAUGGCUGUAAGCGGCCCGUCUUGAAACACGGACCAAGGAGUCUAACAUCUAUGCGAGUGUUUGGGUGUCAAGCCCGAGCGCGUAAUGAAAGUGAACGGAGGUGGGAACCCGCAUGGGUGCACCAUCGACCGAUCCUGAUGUCUUCGGAAGGAUUUGAGUAAGAGCAUGGCUGUUGGGACCCGAAAGAUGGUGAACUAUGCUUGAAUAGGGUGAAGCCAGAGGAAACUCUGGUGGAGGCUCGCAGCGGUUCUGACGUGCAAAUCGAUCGUCAAAUGUGGGCAUAGGGGCGAAAGACUAAU